AACAUACCUAAUAUAAGUAGUCAUCUAAUUGGCAAAAAAAAACCCUAAAAGUAUUCUUCCUUUGUAUUCGUCAUUCGGUUCGUCUGUGCAGUGUACCCCUCACUCAUCUGAACUGGCCUGCCAGUUGUGUGUAGUGGAGAGAAACUGAAUGACUGAAAUUCAGAUGAAACUGCACUGAAAAAGGUUUUCAUAGUCUGGCGCACUUUGAGAUUACAAAUGUUGCUCCAUUUUCCAUUGAGAAAAAUAGGUCUUUCAUAUACUGACAGUAAAAAGGACACCAAAAGCGCAAGUAAAAUGUUAUACUGGACAGGACACAUUUUGUGGAGUAGCUGAGACUGGGUUUGUUGUCUACAGCUGCUACAUGUAGCUUUUCAAUAAGAGCACUCUAUUUUCCAACAAAAAAAUUGUUUCUGUCUUUCCUGAAUGGGGAAAAAGCCUGUCAGCCCCCCUGAGCACAUCUUACUGCAGGAGGACCAAAUGUGAGCAGACUGGGGCUGAACCAGCCCCCCCAUACAUGUCUCACUGUGGUUCCUAGAUUCACAGGAAUUCUGCAAUUCGAUGUCAGUGUGCUGAUAUUUGUAUCCUGAGGUUAAUUCAGCAGCAGUACAAUGCUCUGUCUUGGCCCUAGGGGAGAUAAACGGGAGGACAGCAGCAAGGUGUUUGUUGCACCUGGAGCCUUCUUUGCGCAUGGACAGACAACACUUCUGCAGUGAAGUAGCAAAGACUGCUGCCUUUCUGAAAGAAAACCUCAGGAAGUGAUUAACAAUUGCUACACGCUCAUAUGGGAAUCUUCAGGUGAUCAAAUAACCCCUAGGCUGAAAUCUACCUGUUGUUCAGUUUGGCUUCGACCAUAUGGAGAGAGUUUUAUCAGGUUAUUUGUUUGCAAAGCACCAUGCACACUGACUGGGCCUUAUAAAUCUGAAGUGUUUCAGAAGACUUCGGAUGGUUCAUUACUUACGGGAUCGUUAAAGCCAGGAGAUAGACAAUAAAUAUCCUCCUAAAUCACCCAGCCCAGCCCCUGGCAGCGGGCUAUCUCUUUCCGUGCUCAUCGCAGGCCACUUCACCUU
Molecule: long non-coding RNA, 1067 nt
Filed under: Anser brachyrhynchus (Pink-footed goose)
Lineage: Eukaryota; Metazoa; Chordata; Aves; Anseriformes; Anatidae
Description: lncRNA (ENSABRG00000016683.1)
Source: RNAcentral